This 500-nucleotide ribosomal RNA is filed under the name uncultured bacterium. RNAcentral's name for it is "partial 16S ribosomal RNA". It matches the Rfam family "Bacterial small subunit ribosomal RNA", at positions 30 to 523 of the family's 1533-position model. The record is from RNAcentral.
AUUGAACGCUGGCGGAAUGCUUUACACAUGCAAGUCGAACGGCAGCACGGGGGCAACCCUGGUGGCGAGUGGCGAACGGGUGAGUAAUACAUCGGAACGUGCCCAGUCGUGGGGGAUAACGUAGCGAAAGUUACGCUAAUACCGCAUACGAUCUACGGAUGAAAGCGGGGGACCGUAAGGCCUCGCGCGAUUGGAGCGGCCGAUGUCAGAUUAGGUAGUUGGUGAGGUAAAGGCUCACCAAGCCGACGAUCUGUAGCUGGUCUGGGAGGACGACCGGCCACACUGGGACUGAGACACGGCCCAGACUCCUACGGGAGGCAGCAGUGGGGAAUUUUGGACAAUGGGCGCAAGCCUGAUCUAGCCAUUCCGCGUGCAGGACGAAGGCCUUCGGGUUGUAAACUGCUUUUGUACGGAACGAAAAGGCUCUGGUUAAUACCUGGGGCUCGUGACGGUACCGUAAGAAUAAGCACCGGCUAACUACGUGCCAGCAGCCGCCGUAA